GACGAACGCUGGCGGCGUGCCUAAUACAUGCAAGUAGAACGCACAGUUUAUACCGUAGCUUGCUACACCAUAGACUGUGAGUUGCGAACGGGUGAGUAACGCGUAGGUAACCUGCCUGGUAGCGGGGGAUAACUAUUGGAAACGAUAGCUAAUACCGCAUAAUAUUAAUUAUUGCAUGAUAAUUAAUUGAAAGGUGCAAUUGCACCACUACCAGAUGGACCUGCGUUGUAUUAGCUAGUAGGUGAGGUAACGGCUCACCUAGGCGACGAUACAUAGCCGACCUGAGAGGGUGAUCGGCCACACUGGGACUGAGACACGGCCCAGACUCCUACGGGAGGCAGCAGUAGGGAAUCUUCGACAAUGGACGAAAGUCUGACCGAGCAACGCCGCGUGAGUGAAGAAGGUUUUCGGAUCGUAAAGCUCUGUUGUAAGAGAAGAACGGGUGUGAGAGUGGAAAGUUCACACUGUGACGGUAUCUUACCAGAAAGGGGCGGCUAACUACGUG
This 505-nucleotide ribosomal RNA is filed under the name uncultured bacterium. RNAcentral's name for it is "partial 16S ribosomal RNA". It matches the Rfam family "Bacterial small subunit ribosomal RNA", at positions 28 to 507 of the family's 1533-position model. The record is from RNAcentral.